RNAcentral lists this ribosomal RNA (433 nucleotides) under uncultured bacterium. Its description in RNAcentral is "partial 16S ribosomal RNA". It matches the Rfam family "Bacterial small subunit ribosomal RNA", at positions 29 to 507 of the family's 1533-position model. The record is from RNAcentral.
AACGAACGCUGGCGGCAGGCCUAACACAUGCAAGUCGAGCGCGCCCUUCGGGGUGAGCGGCGGACGGGUGAGUAACGCGUGGGAACGUGCCCUUUUCUACGGAAUAGCCUCGGGAAACUGAGAGUAAUACCGUAUACGCCCUUUGGGGGAAAGAUUUAUCGGAAAAGGAUCGGCCCGCGUUGGAUUAGGUAGUUGGUGGGGUAAUGGCCUACCAAGCCGACGAUCCAUAGCUGGUUUGAGAGGAUGAUCAGCCACACUGGGACUGAGACACGGCCCAGACUCCUACGGGAGGCAGCAGUGGGGAAUCUUAGACAAUGGGGGCAACCCUGAUCUAGCCAUGCCGCGUGAGUGAUGAAGGCCUUAGGGUUGUAAAGCUCUUUCAGCUGGGAAGAUAAUGACGUUACCAGCAGAAGAAGCCCCGGCUAACUCCGUG